AGAGUUUGAUCCUGGCUCAGGAUGAACGCUAGCGGCAGGCUUAAUACAUGCAAGUCGAGGGGUAGCAUGAUUGUAGCAAUACAAUUGAUGACGACCGGCAAACGGGUGCGGAACACGUACACAACCUUCCUACAAGCGGGGAAUAGCCCAGAGAAAUUUGGAUUAAUACCCCGUAACAUAGCGAUGUGGCAUCACAUUGCUAUUAUAGCUUCGGCGCUUGUUGAUGGGUGUGCGGCUGAUUAGAUAGUUGGCGGGGUAACGGCCCACCAAGUCUACGAUCAGUAGCUGAUGUGAGAGCAUGAUCAGCCACACGGGCACUGAGACACGGGCCCGACUCCUACGGGAGGCAGCAGUAAGGAAUAUUGGACAAUGGACGCAAGUCUGAUCCAGCCAUGCCGCGUGAAGGAUUAAGGUCCUCUGGAUUGUAAACUUCUUUUAUAAGGGACGAAAAAAGGUCUUUCUAGAUCGUCUGACGGUACCUUAUGAAUAAGCACCGGCUAACUCCGUGCCAGCAGCCGCGGUAAUAC
RNAcentral lists this ribosomal RNA (527 nucleotides) under uncultured freshwater bacterium. Its description in RNAcentral is "bacterial SSU rRNA". It matches the Rfam family "Bacterial small subunit ribosomal RNA", at positions 8 to 526 of the family's 1533-position model. The record is from RNAcentral.